This 46-nucleotide non-coding RNA is filed under the name Trichobilharzia regenti. Lineage: Eukaryota; Metazoa; Platyhelminthes; Trematoda; Strigeidida; Schistosomatidae. The record is from RNAcentral.
GUGCCGAUGAAGAGUCCCAAACUAGGACGAAACAGCUGUCCAGUAC